UUCAAUUCAAUGAAUCUAGGGAAAUCUGAAGAAUUAAUUGGUGCAAUCUAGUUAAUUUGGGGCAUUGUCAUUCAUGGUUUGUUCAAAGAGUAAUUGGAGAUCGAGUUGUAUGCAUAUGUUCAUGUGUGGAUAAGGAACCCUCUAACUAGCUUCUCACCAUUCUAUUUAAUCACAAUCUGUGUUGCUUUACAUUUGUUUUUAAAGUCUGAGUUUUAAAGUUUUAAUUUCGUCAAAAUCAUUCCCCCAUUUAUUUUAAAGUGUUAGAUUAGUUAGAAAUCCAAUUAGUUGUGUUUUUAAGUGUUUUGAGUCAAGUCAUAGUCCAAAUUCGUCCAAACUAGUGUUAUAUACUCAAAACUGCCCAGAAAGUGGUUUUAAGGCAGUUUUGAGCCUUUAAGUUGCUGUUUUGAGUUUUGAGUUUGUUUAGGUGUUUUAAACCCUAGUUUUGCAUUAAUUGAGUCUAGUUUAGUGUUCUACAUUAUAUUUUUUAUGUUCUUGAGUCAGUUUCACAUUGAUUAGCAUCCCUAGUUAAUCCCCGGUUAGAACGAUCCCUAUUUGCUCAUAUACUACAAUUGUCAUCCAUAGGGUUUAAUUUGUGUGUCAAGUUAAUUUUCACAUCAAAACACUAAACUAGACUCAAAGAAUGCAAAACUAAAGGUUAAAACACUUAAACAAACCUA
Molecule: long non-coding RNA, 677 nt
Filed under: Malus domestica (apple)
Lineage: Eukaryota; Viridiplantae; Streptophyta; Magnoliopsida; Rosales; Rosaceae
Description: long non-coding RNA (MDOM_LNC020738)
Source: RNAcentral